UCCAACAUGUGACAUUAAGAUAGCAGGUCUGUAUGGCUGUCUGUCUGUCUGCAUCACCGUUGGUUGGCUUUUCUUUGAAAACACUGGUAGAAAGCUCACACAGGAUGACCUGAGGGAAGAACCACAUCCUGACCACCAAUGCGUGCCAUCAGAGAGAAUCUGGGUGGUACACAGAGCCCAUACUGAGCAAAGCUAUAAAUCAGACCUUCACUUCCAUCAAUCCCCACACUGAUGUAUCUGCCUGUUUUGACUCACUCAGAUGCUACCAAACCUCUUCAGUACUGAUUGCUUCAAAACCUGAUUAAGCUCCUUCUGGAAAAGCUUUUUGAAGAGCUUGCCAAGAUUUCUGCCAGGUGACAUCAUAAGUGAAUUUCACCACAAGCUUUGCUGGAUAGACAGAACAGGAA
Serinus canaria (Common canary) is the source of this 407-nucleotide long non-coding RNA. RefSeq lists it as uncharacterized. NCBI's taxonomy places the organism in Eukaryota, Metazoa, Chordata, Aves, Passeriformes, Fringillidae. The transcript is spliced from 3 exons. The record is from RefSeq and is a predicted model, not a curated record.